Molecule: long non-coding RNA, 6500 nt
Organism: Sapajus apella (tufted capuchin)
Lineage: Eukaryota; Metazoa; Chordata; Mammalia; Primates; Cebidae
Exons: 2
Source: RefSeq, a predicted model, not a curated record
ACCUCAAGCAACCUGCCCACCUCAGCCUCCCAAAGUGCUGGGAUUACAGGCCUGAGCCACUGCGCCACUAGUGGAAAAUAUUAACCUCUUUACCUCCAUGUACAUCUUAAGAUGAAUGGAAACUAGCUGUCUCUUUUAUAGGCAUGAGAAGUUGUUCCAGUGACCUUUUUGAAUGGUCAGAUAGAAGCAGUUGUGUAUCAUCUAAACUUGUGCUUGCAUCUAUGUGGUCUGUCUGAAUGCAAAAUCUUUAUUUUCUGCUAUGUUUUUAUUCUUGCUCAUUCACAUGGAUUAGGUUGCUCAAAGACUGGAGCCAAUAUGAUAUAUUCCUUAUAGCACCUGGCACAUUGCUUGAUAUAAACACAAUAGAUGCUUAAUGGUAGACGCUAUUUGAGUUUUUGGUUUACUACAUACCUGAUUAUAGUGUAGACUUUAUUUAUAACUUUGAACUGUUAACACAUUCAAAGUGUAAAGCAAGCCCUGCCCACAACAAUUUCUAUAGUCAGUUGCCCGUGAUAAUUUGGGUCUAUAAAACUAAACUAGAAACAUGCUAAGUUAAAAUCAGUUUGUUAUUAGACAUUAGUUACCUACCGAACAUUCUGUAAUUUCAUGUUUAAAAUCUGUUUUCCCUAUUCUGUUUUAAUUAUGUGUGUGUAAUAUAUGAUGCUAGCCAUUAUAUCCAUAAAUGGAUAAAAAUUUUCCCUUGGCUGCUGCUCAUCCCCAGAGAAGGAACAUGUGGGAACUUUAAUUUUUAUGAUUAGUACAUUCUUUUACAUGUUUUGUUGAAACAGAAAAUCUUAAUCUUUUCUAAAUGGUUUUAGAUUUGUAGAGAGCAAAAUUGUUCUGAAUGCUCUUUGAUGAGAUAAUUUAUGUAAAUAGAUACCCAUGGAAGGUAAUGACAUGGAUUAGGAGCAUAGAACCUGCCAAUACUGCCCUUUAUCUCAGUGGUGGGCAGCCCUAGGUGUUCCUUAUAGUACGCUCUAGAAUUUCCGAAAGUACAGAUGGCCUGGCUCUACCUGGGUCCUACUAAUGCAGCACCAGGGGCUGGUAGGGAAGCUAAUCUGUAUUUUGAAAGUGUUAUGCAAGAACUUCUGAAGCUAAGGUUGAGAAGCUUUGCUGUUUUGGGGAGAUAUACUCUGGUUGUCUUAUUGGGAUGUCUGACAUAAUGAUAUAUUUUUGGUACUCAAUUUCAUUUAAAACUGCUUUAGUUUCUUACUUGUUGUCUGGCCAUGGUGAAACCUCUGAUUUUUCUGGGCUUCAGUUUUUUCAGUUGAAAAAUUCAGAGUAGUUAGAUUCAGGUUCAUUUGGGUUCUGUGAGUCUAGGGAUCUGAACCCCCAUGGAACUUUUAUAUCAAAUUUCAUUCUCACUCCAUGCAUAUCAUGUAGAGAAAAAUCCAGGUAGUUAAUAUCAACACUUAAACAUUUAUGAGGGUUUGAGAAAAUUCUUUACGGGUUGCUACUGGAAUUAGGGUAACCAAAUUUAAUUGUCAGUGAUGUGGUGUAGGAAAGAAACCCUUUUUAUCUACUUUCUAAUUCAGACCGGCACUCAUCUCAAAGUCAAUAAAUAUUAGAAGAGAGAGAAGAGACAAGACAGAUGAAAUUUGACCUUGGUAGAAAUGAUUUAUUCAGCAGCGAUGAAGGAACCAGUGUUCAUCAGAGGUUAUGAUCUCCCGGGGUUGUCAUUUUGGAAGUGGCAGAGUCAGACAUCCACCUGGUCCCUGACCCAUGGCCAUGUGCAACUGCCACAGCACCUCAUUUCUUCUGAUUCUCCUGGGAGGGGUAUGGUAGAGAGGGCCGUGUUUUAAAUAGUAGAUUCCUUUCUGACUCUUCACAAUUAGAGACAUGGAACACUUUUGGCCUCCAUGAUGUCAUUCUAUCUCAUUUCUAAGGUUAUUGGUUAACAGGCUUUCCUACAUUGGAAUAUAUAUCAGGGUAAGCCUUUUGUCUCUGUAUUAUAGAGAUUUGGUGUGUACAUCCAGCUAUAAAACUAACUCCAGAAGACAACACAAUAAAAAAAGUUAUUUUUAGUGCCUUGAUUUUGAGUUUUCUCACAUUCUUUUUAAUUUUACAAAAAGGCAAUAUCCUUUGUUAUACUAUUUAUUGAGCAUUUGGUUCUUCUAGGAUAUGUGCACAGACACAUUUGAGUAGAGCAUUUGUAAAACAAUAACCGUUAAUUACAUGAAGUGAAAAGGAGAGGGUUUUCCUCUGAAACAUUUUCUAGUUCAGUAGGUUUGGCCACAGGUAUAAUUUUAAGUGACCUGCAGUGCAGCACCUGCCAUGCACCUAUCACAUGCUUCAGUGCUCAUAGAGUUAGGGUGUCAUCAGCCUGCUUUGGGAUUAGUAAUAAUAAUUGUAGUUGUGGUAUUUAUUGAGUUCAAACAUAUUGUAUAUCUGAUCUAUAUGUUAACUCCUUUAAUCCUUACAACAGUGCUAUGAGGUAGAUAAUAGUACUGUUCUUAUUUUGUAGAUGAGGAAAAUGAGCAUAUAGAGGCAAAUUAGCUUGCCCAAGAUCCUUGGCUAGUGAGUCACAAAACAAGGACUUGAACCCAGGUUUGAUUCUAGAGCCUAUUCCUUUAUCCACUGUGCUGUUCUCUCCUUCUCUUGUAGGUGUAGGGAUCCUGUGAGAAAAGACUUGCCAAACCAAAUGUCUUUUCUUACGCUUUCAUACGGCUUUAGUGAUAAUCAUGUGUCAGUAUUACUCUGGUCUCCUAUGGGUUUUGGCUAGGUGGUAGCAGUCCUGUGUACCAACAACUGGGCUGUUAAGAAAUUCACAUAUUACAGUGACACUGUUAGUAGAUGUAUUUGAUUCUUAGAGAGCAGAUUAACUCCCCAGGGAAAUUUGGGAAGGCUCCUGCCAAGGACACUGCCACAUAUGAAUGUGUAUUCCUCAGUUGUGUAGUAGAAAAAGCAGAUGCCUGAAAUGUUUUUUAGAAUUUCCUUGGUGGUUCUAGAUCUCUUCCUGUGAAAACCAGUGAUAAUAACAUUUGUCUUUCCUAAAACCUUGUGAAUAGGAAAGCUCCAUAAUAGAUAAGUAAGCAUUUAACAGGUAUCAUCUCAUUUCAUCCUCACAACAGCCUUCUCUUGUUAUUUCUACUUUACAGAUGAAAUAGCUGAGGCUUAAUGCCAGUAGAUGCACUGCCCAGGGUCAGGUGGCUAAAUAACAAGGGUGCUGACUCACACCUGAGUCCGUCUGACUCCAAAGCAGACACAUUGUCAUUUUUUGUUGUUGUUGUUUUCAAGAUAGGGCAGGUCUGAAGAACAGAGCUCUCCCCUCCCUUAAAAACAAUGUGACAACAUUCCUUGAGCAGCAUGUGCUAAUCUCCAAGGAUUUAGAGGAUGUGCUGUCAGUGACUUCAGUUUUUCUAGUGGUUUAGCACGCCAACAGAGUUUUCUUUUUCCAUUCUCUCGUGUAUGCGUUCCAAUACUAAAACCAGAUGGAAAUAAAGGAAAACUCUUAACAGAGGCUAGUGCCAAAUAUUUCAUUUAAAAAGGAAACUCCAUCUGUGUGCUCUCCCACCACACAGCCCACUGUUAAGAACAGGAGUUUCACAGCUCACUCACUUAUGUUAAUUUUGAUUAGUUUUGACUACUUGCAAAGGUAGAGCAAGUGGUGGUUAGGGAGAUUGCAAACUAAGGCAGCUCUCCUUCUGGCAUGUGGCUGGCAAGGCACUGUGUACCUGGCAGACAUCCUAAACAGCAGCCUACCAAGAAGGCAGUUUUAAAGCACAUAGAUGCAUUCUUUGGGUGAUUUUCUAGGUUAACACUUUUAGAAGUGAGUGCGCCUGGCUGUGUAGUGAGGCUUUUGUUUGUCAGUAAGUUGUAGUCAGAGGCACCUAUUGCUCCCUGGGAGAAUUCCCACUCCAGAUAUAGGAGAACACAGGCUUAGGCAGAAAGCUGACUUAUGGUAAAAUGCUGACUGUACUAGCUCUGUCAUGUCUUUGAAAUUCAGUUUUCUCAUCAAUAAAAUGGCUAUAAUACCUACAUCCCUGCGUUAAAUUAAGAGGUAUUUUGAAGAAUAACUGAACUGUAUGUGUGUGUGUGAUGCAUGAUACAUGGAAGAUAUUCAGCUUUAUGAGCAAUACUAUUAUUGUUAAUGGUAUACUCACUGGUUCUUGCAAGAUAAAGAUUGUUCACCUAUAGCUUUUUAAAAACAUGUUAAUGACCAAAUACCACUGGUACCUGCUCAAACCUACUGAAAUUAAAAAAAAAAAAAUAAUCUAAUCAUAAAGUCGGAUUCUCAGGAACAGACAUUUAUAAAACAACAGCAAAAAGAAAAAAAAACAUGUUAAUGUAUAUGUAUGACAGGCAUCCAUGACCCAUGUCAUGUGAAGCAAAAUCACACGAUAACCCAGACUUGGCGUUGGGGGUUUUCUCCCUCUCCUUCCACACCUUUUUCCCCCUUUCCCUCUCCAGUUUGCAUCCUCUCCAUUCUGUGUCCCACUCCUGACAGAAGUCUUAAGAUCAUUCUGACCUGCCAUUUUAAACCAGUCUACUCUUGAUUCACUAGAUUCCAACAUUGCUUUUCCCCAAAGCUAGAAUAUUUGGUGGCAUCACACUGCUGUUCUAUUUCAGAGUUUGAAAUUUUCCACUCUGAUAUCAUAAAUAUUUGCACAGUACUGGGUAUAUGGGAUGCAGAGGCUCUUUGUGUUUAGGCCUCUUUCUCCAGCUUUGCAGGGAGUUAGAACUGGGUUAGUCAAUCGAGGUCCUGUCCCUGAAAUGUGAGAUGUUAUUUUCCUACACCUAUCUUUACUGGAUCAAAAGAAAAAUUAAAACAAAAUAAAACAAAACGUUCUCUGAGGUCAGUCAAGUUCACUGUUAAGCAAACAUCAGAAGUGGGAGAGGCUGAUACAAAUGCCUGUGGACCUGGAUUCUCAGCCCAGAUCAAGUUAUUGUUUCUCCAACACUUUCCUGUUACCCUUCCUUUAUACAUACACACACACACACACACACACACACACACACACACACACAGGGAGAGAGAGAGAGAGGGAGAGGGAGAGAGAGAACUGUACUAGCUCUGUCAUGUAUUUGAAACUCAGUUUUCUCAUCUAUAAAAUGGCAAUAAGUUCACAGGGUAUUUUGAGGAGUAACUGAACUAUAUGCGUAUAUGUAAUGCCUGAUACAUAGAAGGUACUUAUCUUCCAUGAAGAAGACACAGGGAGGGGGAGAGAAUACGAAUGACUGACAUUUCCAUCUCAGUUCCAGUCAUGCUAAACCAUAUGCGGAAUUUUCCAGAAGAAACUAAUAACCACAAGCACAAUGAGGUUGCCAAGCUGUCCAGUACCAUAGUAGAUGACCAGGUAGUUACUGUGCUCUGAGCAUGAACAUGUGCCUCCUCCGACCUCUCAUGUCUUCUCUGUAAUAGCACUUAGCAUUGCUGGGCUUUGUCACUUGGCUUUCUGUUUACUUCUGUAGACUGUCAGCCUCUAGAGAGUGGAGACUGUUGUAGAUACCUCCUUUCUUCCCAGUGGUCUGAUCAGAGCCUCCUAGUGGAAGAAAUGAAGCUCCUGGGCAGGGGGAAUUGGGCAUAAUCUCACUCCUGCUCUGUCUAUAAGAGCUGACACUGCCUGAGCUCUGGGCUCACUUUCUGUGUUUGAGCUCCAGGGUGAGCUCACACAUUCACUCUGGGUUAUAGUGGCUGGUACUUGUUUUGGCUUUUUUUUUUUUUUUUUUUUUUAGAAACUUGCUGUUAUUCACACUAAGAUGCUACUGGGUGGUCUUUUAAUUCCCUUGGAAUGCAUCAGGUUACUGAGCAGAAGAUUUUGUUCUACCUAUUGGACCAAUUACCAAUAAGAAAAUGCAUAUUUCUCUGAUACUUUCAGACUUUUAGAAUCAUUCAAAAUGAGCAAUUGUGGCCUACAAUGGAAGGCUGUUAUCUCAGAAUUUUGAAGUACCUGAGUGUUUCUCUUGAAGAAAGAGUUCAUUUUAUGCAGUAAUAAGUAAUUUAAUGGGCAUUGAAUAUAUCAAAACUUUCCUCAGAUGUUCUUUUCUCAUUGUAUCAUUUUCAAUUCUAUAUUUCCUUAAAGAGGGCUUUCCAGAGAAAAAUGGAAACUGGAUUCUUGUUUUUUAGUUUUAACCUCUCUGAGGAUUUUCAUACCGUCUCACCUCCACCCUAUUCACACAAAUUAUUCCUCAUCCAACUUGUGUGGAUCCCAUGUGGCUGAUGUAGACCUCAUGCUACUCUGUGUUUCAAUGUAAUUUCUAUCAGAUUAACAAGUACACUUCUCCGAGAAGCCAAUAGGGUUUUGACAAAUGGAUUCGAGAUAUCAAGAAUAUGCUCAGCCUUGAUGCUUUGGGAUAUAAGUUUUUAUCUUCCUGAAAGGAAGCAUUAGCUGCCCUCCUUCAUUUUCUAGCUAAUUCACACAAGCAGUAAUCACUUGGGUUUUUUAUCUCUGUUCAGAAUCCUUUCUAUCUUGUGGACAGAUCAGAGUCAACUGUGUUUUAGAUUCAUGCAUUUUUAAGAAUGUUCCUCCUCUAUAUGUAUACAUAUUAUUUAUAAAAAA